Ustilago trichophora is the source of this 105-nucleotide non-coding RNA. The record is from the annotation of a GenBank genome assembly. NCBI's taxonomy places the organism in Eukaryota, Fungi, Basidiomycota, Ustilaginomycetes, Ustilaginales, Ustilaginaceae.
GCAGUCUUAGUAUAGUGGUUAGUACAGCUCGUUGUGGCUUGUGGUCACUUGAGUUAGCAAGGCCUUUGCGCCGAGCAGACGGAUGUUCGAUUCCUCCAGACUGCA